RNAcentral lists this unclassified non-coding RNA (354 nucleotides) under Hevea brasiliensis (rubber tree). Lineage: Eukaryota; Viridiplantae; Streptophyta; Magnoliopsida; Malpighiales; Euphorbiaceae. The record is from RNAcentral.
GUCACCGCCUCUCUCGCCUUCCCGUCUCUAAACAAAUAACAUACGCUCCAAAGUAUCGUCACGGCAUGCUCCGUCGCCUCUACCGAUACUUUGAACAAUUUCUGCAGCACUGCUUCGAUGCACGCCAUGUCACCGCACAUCUCUACUCUCCCCUCCUUGCAGGACGACACCGUUUCGAGCAGCUUCAACGCCUUCUCAGUGAUCGAGUUUGAAACUCCUGUGUUUGGCUCCGCCCUUAGUAUGUUUUUCAAUUCUGGAAUUGUUUUGAGAUGGACUAGCUUUACUUUGACGCGUUUCGACUUCGAAAUCGCGAUUAGACAUGAUAAGCUCGCUUCAAUUAAGCUCGGAUCGGUU